AACGAACGCUGGCGGCAUGCCUAACACAUGCAAGUCGAACGAGACCUUCGGGUCUAGUGGCGCACGGGUGCGUAACGCGUGGGAACCUGCCCUUAGGUUCGGAAUAACUCCCCGAAAGGGGUGCUAAUACCGGAUAAUGUCUUCGGAGCAAAGAUUUAUCGCCUUUGGAUGGGCCCGCGUUUGAUUAGCUAGUUGGUAGGGUAAAGGCCUACCAAGGCGACGAUCCAUAGCUGGUCUGAGAGGAUGACCAGCCACACUGGGACUGAGACACGGCCCAGACUCCUACGGGAGGCAGCAGUGGGGAAUAUUGGACAAUGGGCGAAAGCCUGAUCCAGCAAUGCCGCGUGAGUGAUGAAGGUCUUAGGGUUGUAAAGCUCUUUUACCCGGGAUGAUAAUGACAGUACCGGGAGAAUAAGCUCCGGCUAACUCCGUG
This 433-nucleotide ribosomal RNA is filed under the name uncultured bacterium. RNAcentral describes it as "partial 16S ribosomal RNA". It matches the Rfam family "Bacterial small subunit ribosomal RNA", at positions 29 to 507 of the family's 1533-position model. The record is from RNAcentral.